This 672-nucleotide ribosomal RNA is filed under the name uncultured archaeon. RNAcentral's name for it is "bacterial SSU rRNA". It matches the Rfam family "Archaeal small subunit ribosomal RNA", at positions 99 to 754 of the family's 1478-position model. The record is from RNAcentral.
CGUGGCUAACCUGCCCUUGGGACGAGAACACCCCCGGGAAACUGGGGCUAAUUCUCGAUAGGUGAAGAACUCUGGAAUGAGUCUUCGCUUAAAAGAUACUGGGGUUAUGCUCUCCAGCUUCGCCCAAGGAUGGGGCCGCGACCGAUCAGGUUGUUGGUGAGGUAAUGGCUCACCAAGCCUUUUACCGGUGCGGGCCGUGAGAGCGGGAGCCCGGAGAUGGGCACUGAGACAAGGGCCCAGGCCCUACGGGGCGCAGCAGUCGCGAAAACUUUGCAAUAAGCGAAAGCUUGACAGGGCUAUCCCGAGUGCCAUCCGCUGAGGAAGGCUUUUACCCAGUCUAGAACGCUGGGGGAAUAAGGAGAGGGCAAGUCUGGUGUCAGCCGCCGCGGUAAUACCAGCUCUCCGAGUGGUGUGGAUGUUUAUUGGGCCUAAAGCAUCCGUAGCUGGCUAGGUUAGUCCCCUGUUAAAUCCACCGAAUUAAUCGUUGGAUUGCGGGGGAUACUGCUUGGCUAGGGGACGAGAGAGGCAGACGGUAUUUCCGGGGUAGGGGUGAAAUCCUAUAAUCCCGGGAAGACCACCAGUGGCGAAGGCUGUCUGCUAGAACGCGCCCGACGGUGAGGGAUGAAAGCUGGGGGAGCGAACCGGAUUAGAUACCCGGGUAGUCCCAGCUGU